Magnolia sinica is the source of this 1356-nucleotide long non-coding RNA. RefSeq lists it as uncharacterized. The transcript is spliced from 3 exons. The record is from RefSeq and is a predicted model, not a curated record. Lineage: Eukaryota; Viridiplantae; Streptophyta; Magnoliopsida; Magnoliales; Magnoliaceae.
UGUUCAAUGAAUAUAUGUGAUGUAUUUUACAAGGAAUUGUUGAUGUUGUAAUGUAGUAUUUAUGGCAAUUUAAGGAACACAAUGUCACGGAGUUCCUGGUUCUUGCUGGAGAUCAUUUAUAUCGUAUGGAUUAUGAGAGGUUCAUUCAAGCACAUAAAGAAACUGACACAAAUAUCACUGUGGUUGCAUUGCCAAUGGAUGAAAAACAUGCAACUGCAUUUGUUCUGAUGAAAGAAUUGUUAAUUCAAAUGGUGCAGGACUGGUUUUUCUUCUGAAGGGUCUGCUUACAUAUAUUUUUUGCAGAUUUGGGAGAACUAUGUUGAAGGACAGGAAGUUGCAAAUGGUUCAUCCGUUGUUGAAAGUAAACAAAAGGAAGUACUUUAGGUGCUUUGUCACAUUUGCUUUGUCUGUCAUCUUUCUUGUUUGUUUUCUUAAAUCAUAUAAUUUACGUAUCUUCCUGGCCUUUGCUUUCAGGUGGUGGUAGCUGAAGUACUUGGAGAUGGCAAGUUCUACGUCCAAACAGUCGGCAACCAGAAAGUGGCUGCUAUUCAAAAGCAGCUAGCUUUGUUGAACUUUCAAGAAGCCCCUGUUGUGGGUGCUUUUAAUCCUAAGGGCCAAUACUACAAAGCAUGCCUUUAUGCUGGAAUUAACAUUAGUUGGAUCAAUGGUGAAGUUAUGUCUGGCCAGGUAGUAAUCUCUUGCUUGUAUUCUCUCUUUUGGUUUAGCUUAAAUUUUGAUGCGGUCCAUGUGAGCCCCACUUAUCUUGAGGACCAAGAUUGGGAGGAAGUGCCAAGCACUGUCAUCUCUAUUCUGGUUUAGCUUAAAAUCUUUAUUUGUAAAUUUGUAUCCAUAUGCAUUGUCGGAGAAACUAAAAAACUUACUCAUUCUCAUAUUGCAUUGUGGAAUAUGCAUCCAUUAUUCAACGAAAGGGCGACAUUCUAAGCACUCACUCAUUCUCUCCUUACUAGCUAAAUUGGCUAACAAGCUAAAGAAGUUAGUGGAGGAUGAAAUUCAUUUUCUCAAGGGAAGGGUUUCAGAAACUUGAAAGUGAUCUUGUGUCAAAGUUCACAGAAGUUACAUCUGUAGUUUCAAGGAAAGAAGAAGCUUUAUCUUCUGCAUUUGCUGAAAUUGACCAUCUGAAGGAAGAAAAUUCUGUAAAAAUGUGAGCAUUAUUGAAUGUAUAUGGAGGGUGUUUACUGUGUUGGAGUGUAUAUGUUUCUUGCACAUGAGGGCACGCCUUAGUUGUAAUUCUUAUGAUAGGUUGAGCAAAGUGAAGUAUUAUUUAUUUAGAAAUGUGAAUGUAGGAUGCAUUGUAUGAUUUGAUUGCUAUUUGUAAUAAAUGCAUCGUUUUUUUUU